This 73-nucleotide transfer RNA is filed under the name Cnephaeus nilssonii (northern bat). RNAcentral describes it as "tRNA-OTHER". The record is from RNAcentral. Lineage: Eukaryota; Metazoa; Chordata; Mammalia; Chiroptera; Vespertilionidae.
GCUGGUUUGGCUCAGUGGAUAGAGCAUCAGCCUGCGGACUGGAGGGUCCCGGAUUCGAUUCCGGUCAAGGGCA